UUCCAAUCGAACCUGGAGAUAGCUGGUUCUCUCCGAAAUAGCUUUAGGGCUAGCCUCAAGUGAUGAUUAUUGGAGGUAGAGCACUGUUUGGACGAGGGGCCCCUCUCGGGUUACCGAAUUCAGACAAACUCCGAAUGCCAAUUAAUUUAACUUGGGAGUCAGAACAUGGGUGAUAAGGUCCGUGUUCGAAAGGGAAACAGCCCAGACCACCAGCUAAGGUCCCAAAAUAUAUGUUAAGUGGAAAAGGAUGUGGCGUUGCCCAGACAACUAGGAUGUUGGCUUAGAAGCAGCCAUCAUUUAAAGAGUGCGUAAUAGCUCACUAGUCGAGUGACACUGCGCCGAAAAUGUACCGGGGCUAAACAUAUUACCGAAGCUGUGGAUUGUCCUUUGGACAAUGGUAGGAGAGCGUUCUAAGGGCGUUGAAGCAUGAUCGUAAGGACAUGUGGAGCGCUUAGAAGUGAGAAUGCCGGUGUGAGUAGCGAAAGACGGGUGAGAAUCCCGUCCACCGAUUGACUAAGGUUUCCAGAGGAAGGCUCGUCCGCUCUGGGUUAGUCGGGUCCUAAGCUGAGGCCGACAGGCGUAGGCGAUGGAUAACAGGUUGAUAUUCCUGUACCACCUAUAAUCGUUUUAAUCGAUGGGGGGACGCAGUAGGAUAGGCGAAGCGUGCGAUUGGAUUGCACGUCUAAGCAGUAAGGCUGAGUAUUAGGCAAAUCCGGUACUCAUUAAGGCUGAGCUGUGAUGGGGAGAAGACAUUGUGUCUUCGAGUCGUUGAUUUCACACUGCCGAGAAAAGCCUCUAGAUAGAAAAUAGGUGCCCGUACCGCAAACCGACACAGGUAGUCAAGAUGAGAAUUCUAAGGUGAGCGAGCGAACUCUCGUUAAGGAACUCGGCAAAAUGACCCCGUAACUUCGGGAGAAGGGGUGCUCUUUAGGGUUAACGCCCAGAAGAGCCGCAGUGAAUAGGCCCAAGCGACUGUUUAUCAAAAACACAGGUCUCUGCUAAACCGUAAGGUGAUGUAUAGGGGCUGACGCCUGCCCGGUGCUGGAAGGUUAAGAGGAGUGGUUAGCUUCUGCGAAGCUACGAAUCGAAGCCCCAGUAAACGGCGGCCGUAACUAUAACGGUCCUAAGGUAGCGAAAUUCCUUGUCGGGUAAGUUCCGACCCGCACGAAAGGCGUAACGAUUUGGGCACUGUCUCAACGAGAGACUCGGUGAAAUCAUAGUACCUGUGAAGAUGCAGGUUACCCGCGACAGGACGGAAAGACCCCGUGGAGCUUUACUGUAGCCUGAUAUUGAAAUUCGGCACAGCUUGUACAGGAUAGGUAGGAGCCUUUGAAACGUGAGCGCUAGCUUACGUGGAGGCGCUGGUGGGAUACUACCCUAGCUGUGUUGGCUUUCUAACCCGCACCACUUAUCGUGGUGGGAGACAGUGUCAGGCGGGCAGUUUGACUGGGGCGGUCGCCUCCUAAAAGGUAACGGAGGCGCUCAAAGGUUCCCUCAGAAUGGUUGGAAAUCAUUCAUAGAGUGUAAAGGCAUAAGGGAGCUUGACUGCGAGACCUACAAGUCGAGCAGGGUCGAAAGACGGACUUAGUGAUCCGGUGGUUCCGCAUGGAAGGGCCAUCGCUCAACGGAUAAAAGCUACCCCGGGGAUAACAGGCUUAUCUCCCCCAAGAGUUCACAUCGACGGGGAGGUUUGGCACCUCGAUGUCGGCUCAUCGCAUCCUGGGGCUGUAGUCGGUCCCAAGGGUUGGGCUGUUCGCCCAUUAAAGCGGUACGCGAGCUGGGUUCAGAACGUCGUGAGACAGUUCGGUCCCUAUCCGUCGUGGGCGUAGGAAAUUUGAGAGGAGCUGUCCUUAGUACGAGAGGACCGGGAUGGACAUACCUCUGGUGUACCAGUUGUCGUGCCAACGGCAUAGCUGGGUAGCUAUGUGUGGACGGGAUAAGUGCUGAAAGCAUCUAAGCAUGAAGCC
Molecule: ribosomal RNA, 1967 nt
Filed under: Staphylococcus aureus
Lineage: Bacteria; Bacillati; Bacillota; Bacilli; Caryophanales; Staphylococcaceae
Description: partial 23S ribosomal RNA
Rfam family: Bacterial large subunit ribosomal RNA
Source: RNAcentral